GAUGAACGCUGGCGGCAGGCCUAACACAUGCAAGUCGAGCGGGACCUUCGGGUCUAGCGGCGGACGGGUUAGUAACGCGUGGGAACGUGCCCAAAGGUACGGAAUAGCCUCGGGAAACUGAGAGUAAUACCGUAUGUGCCCCUCGGGGGAAAGAUUUAUCGCCUUUGGAUCGGCCCGCGUUGGAUUAGGUAGUUGGUGGGGUAAUGGCCUACCAAGCCGACGAUCCAUAGCUGGUUUGAGAGGAUGAUCAGCAACACUGGGACUGAGACACGGCCCAGACUCCUACGGGAGGCAGCAGUGGGGAAUCUUAGACAAUGGGGGAAACCCUGAUCUAGCCAUGCCGCGUGAGCGAUGAAGGCCUUAGGGUUGUAAAGCUCUUUCAGAUGGGAAGAUAAUGACGGUACCAUCAGAAGAAGCCCCGGCUAACUCCGUG
Molecule: ribosomal RNA, 433 nt
Filed under: uncultured bacterium
Lineage: Bacteria
Description: bacterial SSU rRNA
Rfam family: Bacterial small subunit ribosomal RNA
Source: RNAcentral